RNAcentral lists this long non-coding RNA (1734 nucleotides) under Malus domestica (apple). RNAcentral's name for it is "long non-coding RNA (MDOM_LNC003298)". Lineage: Eukaryota; Viridiplantae; Streptophyta; Magnoliopsida; Rosales; Rosaceae. The record is from RNAcentral.
GGUGAACCACAUUAUUUUGUGUUUGCUUCCCUGUCCCUAUCCAUUUACAUAUUUAUCCACACUAGUGACCGGAGCAAUCUAGCGAAGGUCACAAACUUAACAUUUUCUGUUGUACCAAAGUCCUCACUGAUUUUGUGCAUCAACAUUUGGCGUCGUCUGUGGGAAACAACACGAAAAGCUAUGUCGAUUCUCUUUCAUUUUUUUACCUCCGCCGUGAAUUUGCAGAAACCUAGAACCUCCCUCGGCUGUUUCAAAAAAAAAAAAAACCUUCGUAGAUCUCUCUCUCUGUUUUGCUUGGCCUCAACUGGGCCUCAUGAAAAAUACUUUGGGGACUUAGCCCAUUACUUAUGUAUUGAGGAGCGAGCCCUUAUUCUAUAAAAAUGACUCCCUUACUUUCAUUAGGGAGCAUCCAUUAUUCAUGUAUUGAUGAGUGAGCCCUUAUUUUAUAAAAGGGACUCCCUCACCAUCAUUAAAGAGCAAUACCACCUCCGAACAACCGCCACUUCGGCCCAUCUCUGGAUUUAAUUUGAAGUCUCUAGCCAACAGACUCUAUUGACCAAAGACUUGGGGGACUACAUUAUGUACCAUAUAUUGGGCCUCAACUAGGCCUCAUGAAAAAUACUUGGGGGACUUAGCCCAUUAUUUAUGUAUUGAGGAGCGAUACCUUAUACUAUAAAAUGAACUCCCUCACCACCAUUAGAGAGCAUCAACUCUAGCCCAUUAUUCAUGUAUUGAUGAGCGAGCCCUUAUUUUAUAAAAGGGACUCCCUCACCAUCAUUAGAGAGCAUCAACUCUAGCCCAUUAUUCAGGUAUUGAGGAGCGAGCCCUUAUUCUAUAAAAGGGACUCCCUCACCAUCAUUAGAGAGCAUCGCCGCUUACUGAGCAACCGUCUCGCCGCGAGCAUCAACUCUAGCCCAUAUUUAUGUAUUGAGGAGCGAGCCCUUAUUCUAUAAAAGGGACUCCCUCACCUUCAAAUGCCACAAGCCGAGCCAACCAAGGCAACAUAAGCCACAAGCAGAGUAGCCUUGCAACAUGUGCUACUUCUAGUUGAGCAUCAUUUCAGAGUGAGCACCGCCUCAUAUCGAGUAUCAGUUCUAGAUGACAUCUAGUUACUUCGGCCCUCACAUGGACUGAAUUUCAAGUCUCCAACCAAAAGACUCUCUUGACUGAAGAUUUUGGGGAUUACUGUUUAUACCAUACUUAGGGCCUCCGUAUUUAGAUCUCAUAUAAAUACUCGGGGGACUGGAGUGUAAUUAUGUAAUAAAAGAAGGGGCAAAUAUGUAAUAAGUGAGGAGCCCUUAUUCUAUAAAAGGACUAUUCACCCUCACAAUUGGAGGAGGCCAACUCUUAGGCCUGAAGCCCCCUCACCCUCUCACAUUACAGAGGUUCUCUCCCUCACAAUCCUCUCAGAGAAAUACAAUAUCAGUGUGGACGUAACCCAAACGUUGGGGUGAACCACGAUACAUCUUGUGUUAUUUACAUUUCAUGCAGAUUUACGUUGUUCCAAGACCUCUAGUUUUGUGCAUCAACAAAAGUAGCAUGUAUGUUGCUUUUAAAGUUGUCUUAAUAAAAAGUAGAGUUAAGCCUUUAAUGAUUAUUUUUUAAUUCGAUCAUUAAUUUAAAACAAUUACAGUAUGCAUCCGUCUUGACACAAUUUAUCUUUGGAGAGUGACCACCACCACUUACUAUUACAAAUGCUCCUUCUACACUAUCAUUGCCACUAUCACCACCAUU